CUUGUCUCAAAGAUUAAGCCAUGCAUGUCUAAGUAUAAGCAAUUUAUACGGUGAAACUGCGAAUGGCUCAUUAAAUCAGUUAUCGUUUAUUUGAUAGUACCUUACUACAUGGAUACCUGUGGUAAUUCUAGAGCUAAUACAUGCUGAAAACCCCGACUUCGGAAGGGGUGUAUUUAUUAGAUAAAAAACCAACGCCCUUCGGGGCUCCUUGGUGAUUCAUAAUAACUUAACGAAUCGCAUGGCCUUGCGCCGGCGAUGGUUCAUUCAAAUUUCUGCCCUAUCAACUUUCGAUGGUAGGAUAGUGGCCUACCAUGGUGGCAACGGGUAACGGGGAAUUAGGGUUCGAUUCCGGAGAGGGAGCCUGAGAAACGGCUACCACAUCCAAGGAAGGCAGCAGGCGCGCAAAUUACCCAAUCCCGAUACGGGGAGGUAGUGACAAUAAAUACUGAUACAGGGCUCUUUUGGGUCUUGUAAUUGGAAUGAGUACAAUCUAAAUCCCUUAACGAGGAACAAUUGGAGGGCAAGUCUGGUGCCAGCAGCCGCGGUAAUUCCAGCUCCAAUAGCGUAUAUUAAAGUUGUUGCAGUUAAAAAGCUCGUAGUUGAACCUUGGGUCUGGCUGGCCGGUCCGCCUCACCGCGAGUACUGGUCCGGCUGGACCUUUCCUUCUGGGGAACCCCAUGGCCUUCACUGGCCGUGGCGGGGAACCAGGACUUUUA
Molecule: ribosomal RNA, 716 nt
Filed under: Thermoascus crustaceus
Lineage: Eukaryota; Fungi; Ascomycota; Eurotiomycetes; Eurotiales; Thermoascaceae
Description: SSU rRNA
Rfam family: Eukaryotic small subunit ribosomal RNA
Source: RNAcentral